GUGCGGGUAGUUUAAUUGGAAAAACGCCGUCCCGUCAGGACGGAGUCAUAAGUUCGAGCCUUAUUCCGGCCA
Molecule: transfer RNA, 72 nt
Filed under: Niastella yeongjuensis
Lineage: Bacteria; Pseudomonadati; Bacteroidota; Chitinophagia; Chitinophagales; Chitinophagaceae
Rfam family: tRNA
About the family: Transfer RNA (tRNA) molecules are approximately 80 nucleotides in length. Their secondary structure includes four short double-helical elements and three loops (D, anti-codon, and T loops). Further hydrogen bonds mediate the characteristic L-shaped molecular structure. tRNAs have two regions of fundamental functional importance: the anti-codon, which is responsible for specific mRNA codon recognition, and the 3' end, to which the tRNAs corresponding amino acid is attached (by aminoacyl-tRNA synthetases). tRNAs cope with the degeneracy of the genetic code in two manners: having more than one tRNA (with a specific anti-codon) for a particular amino acid; and 'wobble' base-pairing, i.e. permitting non-standard base-pairing at the 3rd anti-codon position.
Source: Rfam by way of RNAcentral